Molecule: ribosomal RNA, 771 nt
Filed under: uncultured bacterium
Lineage: Bacteria
Description: bacterial SSU rRNA
Rfam family: Bacterial small subunit ribosomal RNA
Source: RNAcentral
AGAGUUUGAUCAUGGCUCAGGACGAACGCUGGCGGCGUGCUUAACACAUGCAAGUCGAGCGGAAAGGCCCUUCGGGGUACUCGAGCGGCGAACGGGUGAGUAACACGUGAGUAACCUGCCCCAGACUUUGGGAUAACCCUCGGAAACGGGGGCUAAUACCGGAUAUGACACUCGGCCGCAUGGUGUGGGUGUGGAAAGUUUUUCGGUUUGGGAUGGGCUCGCGGCCUAUCAGCUUGUUGGUGGGGUGAUGGCCUACCAAGGCGACGACGGGUAGCCGGCCUGAGAGGGCGACCGGCCACACUGGGACUGAGACACGGCCCAGACUCCUACGGGAGGCAGCAGUGGGGAAUAUUGCACAAUGGGCGGAAGCCUGAUGCAGCGACGCCGCGUGAGGGAUGACGGCCUUCGGGUUGUAAACCUCUUUCAGCAGGGACGAAGCGUGAGUGACGGUACCUGCAGAAGAAGCGCCGGCCAACUACGUGCCAGCAGCCGCGGUAAGACGUAGGGCGCGAGCGUUGUCCGGAUUUAUUGGGCGUAAAGAGCUCGUAGGCGGCUUGUCGCGUCGUCCGUGAAAACCCACAGCUCAACUGUGGGCUUGCGGUCGAUACGGGCAGGCUCGAGUUCGGUAGGGGAGACUGGAAUUCCUGGUGUAGCGGUGAAAUGCGCAGAUAUCAGGAGGAACACCGGUGGCGAAGGCGGGUCUCUGGGCCGAUACUGACGCUGAGGAGCGAAAGCGUGGGGAGCGAACAGGAUUAGAUACCCUAGUAGUCC